UCCUGGUUAACCCAGGCAGUCUCACUAGAGUUCCCAUCCGAAAUGCUGGCAACUAGUGAUAAGGGUUGCGCUCGUUGCGGGACUUAACCCAACACCUCACGGCACGAGCUGACGACAGCCAUGCAGCACCUGUGUAGCAGUCCUUACGGAAGAUGACAUUUCUGCCACUGUCCACUACAUGUCAAGUCUGGGUAAGGUUCUUCGCGUAUCAUCGAAUUAAACCGCAUGCUCCACUGCUUGUGCGGGCCCCCGUCAAUUCUUUUGAGUUUCACCCUUGCGAGCGUACUCCUCAGGCGGUAUACUUAUCGCGUUAGCUACGACACAGUUGGGGUUGAGACCAACUACAUCAAGUAUACAUCGUUUACCGCAAGGACUAC
This 377-nucleotide unclassified non-coding RNA is filed under the name uncultured Chlamydiales bacterium. RNAcentral describes it as "contains 16S-23S intergenic spacer region". Lineage: Bacteria; Pseudomonadati; Chlamydiota; Chlamydiia; Chlamydiales. The record is from RNAcentral.